AUACAAAAAAGAAGAAAAAAAUAUAUAUAUAUAAAGUAAACUAGUUAAAAAACGUUAAAAAAGAAAAGGGUAAAGGUUAAAAAAAAUUAGCAGAAGAAGAGAUAAAGAAAAAAAUUGAAAAAGAAAAAGAAAUUAAAUUAACUGCAAGACUAAAGAAUCAUGGGGAGAAAGCCAUGAGUUCCGUGCUUUGCUUUCUCCUCUUCUGGAAUUCCGCUGCUCUCCUUUGUAUUGAAACUGCACUCCUUGGAAGGUGAACUUGGUCCUGGCUGGAUUUCUUGUUGAUCUUCUAGGGGAGGGGCCUGUUGUAGUGAUUCUCAAGUGUCUUUGCCCCAGGCGGAAUUGCACUGCCCUUACCAGGGGCCUGGCUGAGUAAUCUGCUCGGGUUCACUUUCGGGAGCUUUUGUUCCCUGAGUGCUUUCUGUAGAUUUCCGGAGGACAGGAAUGAAAAUAACGGCCUCCUGGUCUCUGGCCGGGAGGAGCUGAGAGCUUGGGGCCCCACUCCUCAGUGCGCCCUCAGAGAAGAGCUCCCAUUUACUCCGGUCUCCCUGGCCUCCGGCCGCGCUCUGAGCUCACCGAGCCUGCACUGGUUCAAGGAGAGAGAACACAAGCUGGAGGAGCAGAAGGAGAGAGAGAGAGAAUCCCAGACUGACUCAGCACUGACCAUAGAGCCUGACUCGUGGCUCCAUCUCAUGACCCUGAGAUCAUGACCUGGGUUGAAACGAAGAGUCGGAGGCCCACCUAACUGCACCAGCCAGGUGCCGCUCAAAAUAGAAGGAGUCCUUUAAGCAGAUUUUUAAAUGUCGGUAUUGUCAGCUGACCUUUUGGUGCCCUGUCUGGUCAUCCGAGAACACGUUAGAUUUAACACUCCUUGAGGAAUAAUCCAUCGUUAAAAUUCUGUGACUGAUUAUCUUUUUACUCAACAGAUGGACUUUUGUCCAUUGAUUUAGAACCAUGUUCACAUUAUUAAAUUCAAUUAAACAAACAGUUUGGUCCACAGUUCCCUUUUCGUCUCACUGUGCACUUCCCCACAUAUAAAUGGCAUGUCGAUAUUUCAACUGGGAUGUGAAUUAUGGCCUAUCGUGGACUAGUAGCAAAUAGUCAGGCUAUUCCUAUCUUAAUCCAUACCCUUUAUGUGAUUCAGUAAUUCACCAGUGAAGAACCACUGCUGCUUGGCCCUGAUUUCUCCCCAGAUCUGAGGGGACACUGAACAGAUUGAACCUUGUC
RNAcentral lists this long non-coding RNA (1224 nucleotides) under Mustela putorius furo (domestic ferret). Its description in RNAcentral is "lncRNA (ENSMPUG00000031102.1)". The record is from RNAcentral. Lineage: Eukaryota; Metazoa; Chordata; Mammalia; Carnivora; Mustelidae.